UGAGCUGGUUAGUUAGUUCUCGGUUAACUGUCAAGCAGGCAGAACGCAGGAAAGUUCGUGGAGUGCACGUAGACGUGAGAUAGCCUGACCGCUGUAGAACAAAAUUUCCAUUUUUUUAAUUCUGUGGCAAAAAGUGAAGUGGUGAAGUGGAAAGCUAAUUAAGCUUAUUGGGCUCAGAGCAAGCCGCAGAUGUUCACUACCUUUAUGCAUGCUGCUCUGUAGUGCUACAAUGGAGUAGAGGAGGAGGAUACAAUGAGAUCGGCCUUUCUAUCAUGACCAACUUGUGCGCCAGGCCGGGAAGGUGUCCUAGCACGAUCAUGGAUCGGUGUGCUAGCGUUGGAGUAGCUGGCACGUCGCCGGUGAAUUUGCUUCUGUCCGGGCAAGCAUGCUGUCCACCAAUC
Long non-coding RNA from Aedes aegypti (yellow fever mosquito), 401 nucleotides. RefSeq lists it as uncharacterized. The record is from RefSeq and is a predicted model, not a curated record. NCBI's taxonomy places the organism in Eukaryota, Metazoa, Arthropoda, Insecta, Diptera, Culicidae. The transcript is spliced from 3 exons.